This 24-nucleotide non-coding RNA is filed under the name Mus musculus (house mouse). The record is from RNAcentral. Lineage: Eukaryota; Metazoa; Chordata; Mammalia; Rodentia; Muridae.
UGGAUUUUCACAUCUGUUUGACAG